This 500-nucleotide ribosomal RNA is filed under the name uncultured bacterium. RNAcentral's name for it is "partial 16S ribosomal RNA". It matches the Rfam family "Bacterial small subunit ribosomal RNA", at positions 28 to 507 of the family's 1533-position model. The record is from RNAcentral.
GACGAACGCUGGCGGCGUGCUUAACACAUGCAAGUCGAACGGGCCUGUCUUCUUUUUUGGGGGGUGGGUUGAGUGGCGAACGGGUGAGUAUCACGUGAGUAACCUGCCCUUCGGUCCUGGAUAACCGCUUGAAAGGGCGGCUAAUACGGGGUGGUCCGGUUGGUCCGCAUGGGCUGGUCGGGAUAGAUUCACUGUUUUUGGUGUUUCGGCGGGGGAUGGGCUCGCGGCCUAUCAGCUUGUUGGUGGGGUGAUGGCCUACCAAGGCGGUGACGGGUAGCCGGCGUGAGAGGGUGGGCGGCCACACUGGGACUGAGAUACGGCCCAGACUCCUGCGGGAGGCAGCAGUGGGGGGUAUUGCACAAUGGGCGGAAGCCUGAUGCAGCGACGUCGCGUGAGGGAUGGAGGCCUUCGGGUUGUGAACCUCUGUUUCCGGUGGUGAAGGCCCUGUCCGUGUGGUGGGGUUGACGGUAGCCGGGGAUGAAGCGCCGGCUAACUACGUG